UGUACCCUUACCCUUGUUUCAUACGUAUCUUUGUCACCACCAAAGCAAGUUCUCUGUAAUUCAUAUGCCUUAAGACAGAUUGCAACAGAUCAGGCUUCUGCAAGAUCUGAUGGUGGAUAGAAUAGUUGAUUUGAUACUUAUAUGUGGAACUUCCAAAAGUAAUUUACUAGUUAGAUAUUCUAUCUAUAUCAAUACUAUCCAUAUUGAUAUUUUUUCUUUCUUUUCAGUUACUAUUUUAAUUUGUGAUGAUGCAAUUUCAGUUGAGUUCCUUACUGUAUGACGUUGGCUUGAACAUUCAAGAAGCGCAUGCUUUUUCCACUACAGAUGGCUACUCUUUGUUUUUUUUUUGUUGUUGAUGGCUGGGCACUUGAGGGUGUGUACAAGUGUAGGAGAUGUUAGAGCAGUUACUAAUAUUUACCCGAGGGGGAUUAAUCCUCUAGACAUGUAAAGAGCUUGGAAAUGUUCUUAGGGGAUCACCAAUUGACACCUUGAUCAGGUCUUGUCUUUUGCAAGAACGACAAGGAGGUGGAAAUUUCUGGCUUUAGAUUUCUGGCCAAACAGGAGCUCACAGGAAGAUUUCAAAGGUUGUUGUAAACUGAUUUUAGGAGAUUGGUUUUCUUAAUUUCUUGGAGAGGAGGGAUAUUUUUUAGGAUGGCUAAUAAUGAAGAGACAGGUAGCCCAGGUUGGGGUGCUUCGUUUGAGGUUACCCUCCAGAAAAGCAGCUGCCUCUUAAAUACAAAGAUCUUUCAUUUUGCAUCCCUGGAGGCUUGGAGGUUGGGUGUAUGCUUUUUGGGUCAAUUUUUGGAAUGAUCAGUUUGUGUAUUUGAAAGUUAGGAGCUAUAUUUCUUAUUGCUCAUGACUUCUAGUUGUUCAGCUGCUGUGGAAUCAUAACUUUAGUUAUCUCGAGCGAUUUGACUAUAAAUAGGCUUGAUGUAAUUCUCAUAACUGUUAUAUAAUAACAUCUAUUAU
Molecule: non-coding RNA, 969 nt
Organism: Corylus avellana
Lineage: Eukaryota; Viridiplantae; Streptophyta; Magnoliopsida; Fagales; Betulaceae
Source: RefSeq, a predicted model, not a curated record